This 449-nucleotide ribosomal RNA is filed under the name Blastocystis sp. RNAcentral describes it as "SSU rRNA". It matches the Rfam family "Eukaryotic small subunit ribosomal RNA", at positions 477 to 940 of the family's 1831-position model. Lineage: Eukaryota; Bigyra; Opalinata; Blastocystidae. The record is from RNAcentral.
AUCACAAUGCGGGACUUGUAGUCUUGCAAUUGGAUUGAGAACAACGUAAAACUCUUAUCGAUAAGCCAUUGGAGGGCAAGUCUGGUGCCAGCAGCCGCGGUAAUUCCAGCUCCAAUAGCGUAUAUUAACGUUGUUGCAGUUAAAAAGCUCGUAGUUGAAGUGAGGGAGUGUGUGUUGUGAUCGAAUCGAUCGAGAGCAGUACAACCUCCCCCUUCCAAUGGGUGUAUUGGGGUAUUCAUUUACUUCAUUACUCCUUUGGUCGUUUACUGUGAGAAAAUUAGAGUGUUCAAAGCGGGCGUUUGUUUGAAUAGAUUAGCAUGGAAUAAUGAUUGAAGGCUUUCGUGUUCGAUUUGAUUGGUUUGUUCAUGGAAGCAAGGUUAAAAGGAACAGUUGGGGGUAUUCAUAUUCACUAGUUAGAGGUGAAAUUCUCGGAUUUAUGGAAGAUGAAC